GAUUAACGCUGGCGGCGUGCCUAACACAUGCAAGUCGAACGAGGUAGCAAUACCUAGUGGCAGACGGGUGAGUAACGCGUGGUCAACCUACCGUUGAGUGGGGGAUAACUAGCCGAAAGGUUAGCUAAUACCGCAUACGUCUCCGAGUGGCAUCACUUGGCGAUAAAAGGAGCAAUCCGCUCGAUGACGGGACCGCGUCCCAUUAGCUAGAUGGUGGGGUAACGGCCUACCANGGCACCGAUGGGUAGCUGGUUUGAGAGAGCGACCAGCCACACUGGGACUGAGAAACGGCCCAGACUCCUACGGGAGGCAGCAGUGAGGGAUUUUCCGCAAUGGGCGCAAGCCUGACGGAGCGACGCCGCGUGUGGGAAGAAGGCCUC
RNAcentral lists this ribosomal RNA (380 nucleotides) under uncultured bacterium. RNAcentral describes it as "bacterial SSU rRNA". It matches the Rfam family "Bacterial small subunit ribosomal RNA", at positions 28 to 418 of the family's 1533-position model. The record is from RNAcentral.